AUGGUACAAGAGGAAACUCGGCCGGAGGUUAACAUAGACAAGAAAAAGAUCCACCACCACUCGCCCACCGCCGACGGCGCCUUCCAGCGCCUCGCCGCUGACUUGCUCCUUCACCUGCUCCCAUCCUCCGAAGCCACCACCGCGCCGACGAGGGACCUCUCCAUCGCCUGGACGGGCCGCCUGAUCGACUCCUUCCUCAUCUGCCUCGAGGAGUUCCGCUCCAUGCUCCUCGGAUUUCCACUCGCGCGGCCCCUGCACGACCUCCUCGUUGCCAACUUCCUUGACUGCGCCAUCAAGGCGCUCGAUCUCUGCAACGCGCUGCGCGAGGGUGUGGACCUGCUCCGCCAGUGGCGCAAGCACCUCGCCAUUGCCGCUGCAGCGCUCGCUUCCACGCCGGGCGCCCCGCUUGGGGAGGGCCAGAUCCGCCGCGCCCGCAAGGCGCUCACCGACCUCACCAUCCGUAUGAUCCAAAUGCCUAUUAAUUUUUCUUCAUCCGCAGUGAGCUGA
RNAcentral lists this ribosomal RNA (507 nucleotides) under Triticum aestivum (bread wheat). RNAcentral describes it as "partial small subunit ribosomal RNA". Lineage: Eukaryota; Viridiplantae; Streptophyta; Magnoliopsida; Poales; Poaceae. The record is from RNAcentral.